Molecule: ribosomal RNA, 347 nt
Filed under: uncultured Pseudonocardia sp.
Lineage: Bacteria; Bacillati; Actinomycetota; Actinomycetes; Pseudonocardiales; Pseudonocardiaceae
Description: bacterial SSU rRNA
Rfam family: Bacterial small subunit ribosomal RNA
Source: RNAcentral
AUUGGCACACAACGAACGCUGGUCUCCGUGCUUAACACAUGCAAGUCGAGCGGUAAGGCCCUUUGGGGUACACGAGCGGCGAACGGGUGAGUAACACGUGGGUGACCUGCCCCCUACUCUGGGAUAAGCCUGGGAAACUGGGUCUAAUACUGGAUAUGACCACGGAUCGCAUGGUGUGUGGUGGAAAGUGUGUUCUUGAUUGGACACUUCGGUGGGGGAUGGGCCCGCGGCCUAUCGGCUUGGUGGUGGGGUGAUGGCCCACCCAGGUCGACGACUCGGUAGCUGGUCUGAGACGACCAUCUCCCACUCUGGUGACUGAAACACGGCCCACACUCCUACUGGAGGCA